CGCACCUUGCGCCCCUUGGUAUUCCGAGGGGCAUGCCUGUUUGAGUGUCAUUAAAUUCUCAAACCUACCUUUUGCUUUGCUGUAAAUCGUAGUGUUUGGAUUGUUGGGGGUUGCUGGCUUGUCACCGAGUCGGCUCCUCUUAAAUGCAUUAGCGGGACUUUGUUGUUGCCUCUGCUACAUGGUGUGAUAAUUAUCUACGCCAGACCGUACGCAAUGAUACUUAUUGGAGUCCAGCUCUCUAAUCGUCUUCGGACAGCUUUUGACCAUUUGACCUCAAAUCAGGUAGGACUACCCGCUGAACUUAA
Molecule: unclassified non-coding RNA, 305 nt
Filed under: Pleurotus citrinopileatus
Lineage: Eukaryota; Fungi; Basidiomycota; Agaricomycetes; Agaricales; Pleurotaceae
Description: partial contains 5.8S ribosomal RNA, internal transcribed spacer 2, and large subunit ribosomal RNA
Source: RNAcentral